This is a small nucleolar RNA of Psammomys obesus (fat sand rat), 143 nucleotides long. RefSeq annotates it as small nucleolar RNA SNORA48. The transcript has a single exon. The record is from RefSeq and is a predicted model, not a curated record. NCBI's taxonomy places the organism in Eukaryota, Metazoa, Chordata, Mammalia, Rodentia, Muridae.
CACCCCUGGCCAUGGGCACAGAGACACCUUGUUGGUGAUGUUCUUCAUAUGUCAGUCAGGGGCAGAGCAGAUGGCAUGCCUUGCUCAUCCCAGCUUGAUGCCUGGCUUGGUGGCUAAAGCUGUCUCAUGCUUAGGACUCAUAA